RNAcentral lists this ribosomal RNA (200 nucleotides) under uncultured prokaryote. RNAcentral describes it as "partial 16S ribosomal RNA". It matches the Rfam family "Bacterial small subunit ribosomal RNA", at positions 1183 to 1382 of the family's 1533-position model. The record is from RNAcentral.
CGUCAAGUCAGCACGGCCCUUAUGUCCAGGGCUACACACGUGCUACAAUGGCCGGUACAAAGAGCUGCAAUAUCGCGAGAUGGAGCGAAUCUCAAAAAACCGGUCUCAGUUCGGAUCGGAGUCUGCAACUCGACUCCGUGAAGUUGGAAUCGCUAGUAAUCGUAGAUCAGCACGCUACGGUGAAUACGUUCCCGGGCCUU